UAGGGAAUCUUCGGCAAUGGGGGCAACCCUGACCGAGCAACGCCGCGUGAGUGAAGAAGGUUUUCGGAUCGUCAAGCUCUGUUGUAAGACAAGAACGGGUGUGAGAGUGGAAAGUUCACACUGUGACGGUAGCUUACCAGAAAGGGACGGCUAACUACGUGCCAGCAGCCGCGGUAAUACGUAGGUCCCGAGCGUUGUCCGGAUUUAUUGGGCGUAAAGCGAGCGCAGGCGGUUUGAUAAGUAUGAAGUUAAAGGCUGUGGCUCAACCACAGUGCGCUUUGGAAACUGUCAAACUUGAGUGCAGAAGGGGAGAGUGUAAUUCCAUGUGUAGCGGUGAAAUGCGUAGAUAUAUGGAGGAGCACCGGUGGCGAAAGCGGCUCUCUGGUCUGGAACUGACGCUGAGGCUCGAAAGCGAGGGGAGCGAACAGG
RNAcentral lists this ribosomal RNA (429 nucleotides) under bacterium. Its description in RNAcentral is "partial 16S ribosomal RNA". It matches the Rfam family "Bacterial small subunit ribosomal RNA", at positions 355 to 776 of the family's 1533-position model. The record is from RNAcentral.